GUCUGCUUGGAGAUAUAAGAAGUCUAGCCUGCUCUCUGAUUUUUUUAAAGGGCCGCGGUAAUCUGACCGUGCAAAGGUAGCAUAAUAGUUAGUUUUUUAAUUGGGAUCUUGUAUGAAUGGUUGGACAAAAGAAAUACUGUCUUUGUAAUUGUUAUUGAAUUUAACUUUUAAGUGAAAAGGCUUAAAUUGAUUAAGAAGACCAUAAGACCCUAUAAAGCUUUAUAAGUAGGUAUUAUUUAGUUAAAUUAAUUAAUAAAAUCUUAAUGAUUUAAUUAUUUUAUUGGGGAGAUAAUAUUAUAAAUGAUAAUAACUGUUAUAAAUUAUUACAAAUAUAAAUGUUUAGGUGAAAUAGAAGAUCCUAUUUAAAGAUUAAGAGUUUAAGUUACUUUAGGGAUAACAGCGUUAUUUUUUUUAAGAGUUCAUAUCGAAAAAAAAGAUUGCGACCUCGAUGUUGAAUUAAAAUUUCUAAAUGAUUGCAGAAGUUGUUUUAGAGGGUCUGUUCGACCUUUAAAUUUUUACAUGAUUUGAGUUCAGACCGGCGUGAGCCAGGUUGGUUUCUAUCUUUUAAGAAUUAAUAAGAUUAUUCUAGUACGAAAGGAUUGAGUAAUCGAAUUUUAUUUAUUAGUGG
Molecule: ribosomal RNA, 628 nt
Filed under: Tumidotheres maculatus
Lineage: Eukaryota; Metazoa; Arthropoda; Malacostraca; Decapoda; Pinnotheridae
Description: partial 16S ribosomal RNA
Rfam family: Bacterial large subunit ribosomal RNA
Source: RNAcentral